Molecule: transfer RNA, 85 nt
Filed under: Litchfieldia salsa
Lineage: Bacteria; Bacillati; Bacillota; Bacilli; Caryophanales; Bacillaceae
Description: Bacillus sp. A24(2010) tRNA
Rfam family: tRNA
About the family: Transfer RNA (tRNA) molecules are approximately 80 nucleotides in length. Their secondary structure includes four short double-helical elements and three loops (D, anti-codon, and T loops). Further hydrogen bonds mediate the characteristic L-shaped molecular structure. tRNAs have two regions of fundamental functional importance: the anti-codon, which is responsible for specific mRNA codon recognition, and the 3' end, to which the tRNAs corresponding amino acid is attached (by aminoacyl-tRNA synthetases). tRNAs cope with the degeneracy of the genetic code in two manners: having more than one tRNA (with a specific anti-codon) for a particular amino acid; and 'wobble' base-pairing, i.e. permitting non-standard base-pairing at the 3rd anti-codon position.
Source: Rfam by way of RNAcentral
GGACUUGUAGCUCAAUGGUUAGAGCAGCCAAUAGUUUAAAUGCAAACACUUGUGCAUCUUAUGGGUUCAAAUCCCAUCAAGUCCU